GAUGAACGCUGGCGGCGUGCCUAAUACAUGCAAGUCGAGCGAACAGACGAGGAGCUUGCUCCUCUGACGUUAGCGGCGGACGGGUGAGUAACACGUGGAUAACCUACCUAUAAGACUGGGAUAACUUCGGGAAACCGGAGCUAAUACCGGAUAAUAUAUUGAACCGCAUGGUUCAAUAGUGAAAGACGGUUUUGCUGUCACUUAUAGAUGGAUCCGCGCCGCAUUAGCUAGUUGGUAAGGUAACGGCUUACCAAGGCAACGAUGCGUAGCCGACCUGAGAGGGUGAUCGGCCACACUGGAACUGAGACACGGUCCAGACUCCUACGGGAGGCAGCAGUAGGGAAUCUUCCACAAUGGGCGAAAGCCUGACGGAGCAACGCCGCGUGAGUGAUGAAGGUCUUCGGAUCGUAAAACUCUGUUAUUAGGGAAGAACAAAUGUGUAAGUAACUAUGCACGUCUUGACGGUACCUAAUCAGAAAGCCACGGCUAACUACGUG
RNAcentral lists this ribosomal RNA (497 nucleotides) under uncultured bacterium. RNAcentral's name for it is "partial 16S ribosomal RNA". It matches the Rfam family "Bacterial small subunit ribosomal RNA", at positions 28 to 507 of the family's 1533-position model. The record is from RNAcentral.